Molecule: long non-coding RNA, 3245 nt
Organism: Monopterus albus (swamp eel)
Lineage: Eukaryota; Metazoa; Chordata; Actinopteri; Synbranchiformes; Synbranchidae
Exons: 7
Source: RefSeq, a predicted model, not a curated record
CAGAAGAAGAAGAAAAACCAGGAAGUGUGUUCACUGAGGAGUUUUUGAAAGUGUGUGCAGGCCCUUUAGUUGAAGUGCUUGUUUAAAUUGAUUCAGCCACAUUUCUACAAACGCGUUCUCCACAGUGAAGGAAGGUUGUUCCACCAUUGUAGAAACAUCAGAGAGCGACUGAACCUGGGCACAAGAGGCAACUCCUUAUGAUGACCUUGGGGGAGUGUAAACCAUCACAUGAGACCUUCUGACCAUCGAGUCACCAGUUCAGUUCACCUGACACCAAGAAGCAUUAUUAUUCAAGCAAGAUUGCUUCCAGAGUGUGAAUGGACAACAUGUGAACCAAAUGGAGCCAGAUGGAGGAACAAUGGGCCACAAGUAGUGAAGACGAACUCCAAUCAGAGACUGCUUUUCAGAAACCCAGCAGACGUGAAGGAGAGUGGAGCUGAUGGAUUGCAAUCUGGGCCACGCAUGACUUAGCAUCUCGUUAGCUGCUCCCGCUAGCAGAGUCGCUGGAACAGACAGCUGAUGAACCAUUCUGCCAUCCCGUGUCACCAUUCAUGUCCUGCAUCGUCCUGAGAUCCAUGGUGGAAACCUACCCAGUGGUCUCUUUAGCUUUGUUGCUAGCUAAAAACAAGGUCCAGCGCGGAGCCCAACUGGACUAAAGGUAAGCACAGAAUGAACAUUUUGACACAAAUAUACCGGUUCUGAGAAAAUCAGCUAGUGAAAAGUUCACCAGAGUCCGAACGUUCCCUCUGUCAAAUGUAAAGUAUCACCUCCAAACUGGGCUAAUUCACUGCCUCAAGAUACCGACACCUGCUGGAAUCAGUCAAUGACUGACAUAACAUGUAAUCACAUAGUCGGUUAAAGUCCGUUUUGAAACAUUUAUUUUGUAAAGAUUGGCUUACACAAUUGUUCUCUUCGAUAGCUUCAAUGAUUCCUACCUGAAAAUGAAGCCCUUAAGCUGGUGCCUAGCUCUGUUAUCGGGUACAUCCCAAAUCCCUUAUACAGCACUCCUCGACCAGGAGGCAGGAGCAAGGAUACACAAGAGCAUCCUUUGUGGAAGUCUUUUAUGAAUCGAUAGGCCCCUUUAUCAGAAAUCAGCUGUGACUCCUUUGUCACAUGAAACAAAGAACAGCUUAUAGAUGUGAGCUAAAUCAGGGAAACAAGCCUUUGUGAUUAGAUUGUCUGAUUUUGAUUUGAAAGGGUUACUUUAAGACUUGUCUGAUAGCAGUAUACACUCAGUUGGCGGUUUAUUAGGUACAGCGAGUGGAAACCAGUGCAUUGUGUAUGAUCAUGCUGGGAGAUGUAGUUUGUGAUACUGUUGAACUGUACGGCAUCAGACUGACGGGGUUUUUUUUUGUCUGUCCUGUUGAUAUCAACGACAGAAACACCUCUGUAUGAUGCAGUACAGUUCAACAGCAGCACAAGCUACAGCCUCUAAAACCAUCUGAGUUGGAUCAGCACCUCUUUGGAACAGUGUGAACAUCAUCACCUUCACAAAGGAGGGUCUAUUGCUGGACACUGCAUUUUAGCAUUGUGUAUCUAAUAAAGAGCCAACUGAGUGUAUCCUUGCAACAGUACUAGAGAAAACAAUGUGUGCACAGCUGUUAAGUUUUCCAGUGCUUUGCUUGCGGUGUGUACAAAGGGCAGGGACUUAAUCAACGCGAGCUUAUGACCCGCGCUUACUGGGAAUUCCUCGUUCAUGGGAAAUAAUUGCAAUCCCCAAUCCCUAUCACGAGUGGGGUUCAGCGGGUUACCCACGCCUCUCGGCGAAGGGUAGACACACGCUGAUCCACUCAGUGUGGCGCGUGUGCAGCCCUGGACAUCUAAGGGCAUCACAGACCUGUUAUUGCUCAAUCUCGUGUGGCUGAACGCCACUUGUCCCUCUAAGAAGUUGGACGCAGACCGCACGGGGCCGCGUAAUGCUGCUCAGCUAAGCCGAUAAUGUCACAACAGCCGCCUCAGGACGAUAAAAGUCCGGGCAGCAUGCGUUUACUUAAAUCUCCACAGCUUUCGGGUUCCAAAUCUUAUUUCUUUAAAUAGGAGGAUGUUUGUACUGUUUCAUGGAGGAAAACAAAGUCAGUUUUCACAGCCCGAGUCCAAAUCAUCCAAACAAGAUACAAUUAUAACUUUAAAGCAUAUUAAACCACUAGGCAAAAAAUGGAACUGACUUUCUUCAUUUAUGUGCAAUUCAGCUCGAUCCAAACAGCCAGGUUCGUUCUUAAACUCCCCACUGUGAGUCAAUGUGUAUGUGGGUGUCAGCUGAUGUGCCAGAUGAACAAAUAAACAUCUCGUCUAAAGCGACAGUUUGUAGGACGGUAACAUAAGACUGUGUUCAAAACGAUAAUCACUAAGCUGCACACACCUUUUAGGGGCAAUAGUGGUUUGAAAUGAGAACCUGUAUUUGUGUCUGGUGCAUGAUGUUUGUCUGUUUGUUUGACUGUGGUUGUCUUUUCUUAUUUACAGUCAGGGUGGAUGCACACUCUUCAGAUUCUGACAAGCCCGAAAACAGACGUAGAGCAGAGCAACAACAUUUGGUCUCAAUGACAAGGUAGGACGUUUUCUUUUUUGACCAAUGCUGCUGUUCUUCUUUCUCGCGCACGUGGCUCCACCCGGCUCGUGAUGUGGAGGCAGAGCGCAUACUCUGAAACCAUGCCCACCGAGGAGGAAAACAACAACUCACUCCAUUGACUUUGUAUUACAUGAAGGUGCCUCUGACAAUUCUGUCUCAUUACAAAAACUGACAAAUGCCUUCUCAAAGCAGCUGUGUGGUAGGACGCACAGCCGACGGUCAGAGUAGUAGGACGCACAGCCGACGGGCAGAGAAGUUUAAAAACUGCCAAACAAAACCCCCCGAAGCUUUAGGACGUGGGUCAUUAGCAGGAGGAACGGGGAUCCUGAUGCUCGUUAUGUCUACGUGUGCAGUGGCAGAAGCAGCACUCACCAUGGUUACGUAAGUAGUAAUGCUGCAGUGUAAAAAUACUCUGUUACAAGUAAAAGCCCUGCAUUCAUAAUGUUGCUUAAAUACAAGAGUAUUAACGUAAAAGUACGCAUUAUGCAGAAUGGUACGGUUCACAAUGUAAAUUAUAUUAUAUUUACUGAUGCAUUACUGUGUACAUCACUUGAAGUUGGAGCCAGUUGCAAGUACCUUUAAGGUAUAAUUUGAAGUACCUUUACAUACUGCUGGGUAGCUUGUCAAUUUUACAGUGACGAUCAACAAAGCACUACCUUUAAGCGAAAAAUAUUGUAAA